Molecule: long non-coding RNA, 325 nt
Organism: Cyprinus carpio (common carp)
Lineage: Eukaryota; Metazoa; Chordata; Actinopteri; Cypriniformes; Cyprinidae
Exons: 3
Source: RefSeq, a predicted model, not a curated record
UAUGUUGUGGUUUCAAAUAAAUCUUGUUGUACUACUGGCCAGUUUUCAUCCAUCAUAUUUGGUGGUUAUCCCCACAAACCUCAGCUGUGACUCUUACGAUGCAAUAUUAAAAGGCUUAGAAAAGGCUUUGGCUAUUGUACCAUCUGAACUUCUAGAGGACUUGAAGACAAGCAAAGAAAUUCUGAUUCUUUCACUACCAAAAGGUUGUCCUCAGAAAAAUACUCCCUUACCAAUAGGCUCUAAAUAUGUCACUACUGCAACUACAUCUUCAAUGUCAACCACUCAGCUACCAACUAAGGCCUCCACAGGUCCAGCAGUGUCAGGC